This is a long non-coding RNA of Oncorhynchus kisutch (coho salmon), 842 nucleotides long. RefSeq lists it as uncharacterized. Lineage: Eukaryota; Metazoa; Chordata; Actinopteri; Salmoniformes; Salmonidae. The record is from RefSeq and is a predicted model, not a curated record. The transcript has 2 exons.
GCGCAGCUUGUCCCAGAAUAGCCCAGAAUCCACCGUGCGGCCCAUUGACAUGCUUCAGCAACAUUUCCCAUCUCCUUAAAAGUAUAUAUGUCGUUGCGAAUGUCAGACUCCACUCUGAGGCACAUUGACGUGCAGAUUGAACAUGGAGGGAGAACCAGUCUACAGUCUCCUCUUAAUAGAUAGAGGGGGAAGGAGACACCACAAGAGUAAAAAGGAGGAAAUGGUGGGUGUGAGGAGAGCAAGAGGCUGGCUGGUGAGAGGGAGCGAAAGAGGCGAGGAGAGAAAGUCUGAAAAUCUUAUAGCCAGGAGACAGAGGAAGCUAAAGGAAAAUCAACCAUCUCAGCAGAGCAGACUGUUGAUAAAUUGUAAGCAUUUCUGUGGGUUUGUGCUAAUGCUGCUACCCUGCUACUCCUAGACCGCAGUCACAAGGAGACAGAAAGGGCAUCUUAGAGAGAGCACCGGAUGUGGGAGAGGGUAUUGCAGCAAUUUGUGAAGGUAAAAUUCAGGACGUAAGAAGAGGUGGACAGUACCAAGAGAAGGAGAAGAGAAAGGUGAUCCCUGGGGACAACGCCUCUGACACAGGCCCAUCGCAGGGCUGUUCAAUGUCGCUCCAAGAGGGCCAAAACACUAGUUUUCAUCCUCUCCUAAUAUGGGACGAAUUCAGAAAUGGUACACCAGGUAGGAACAAAAACCAGAAGUGUUUUUGCCUUCCAGGAGCGGAAUAGCCCUUCACUAGAGGACUCUACUACUGCACACACCAUAAGGUAUCCACAGUAAGGUGCCGGAAGAACACUCCAAGUCUCCACAAACUUAAACCAAUAAAAAAGAUCAGUCUUUUACUA